CCUACGGGAGGCAGCAGUGAGGAAUAUUGGUCAAUGGCCGGAAGGCUGAACCAGCCAAGCCGCGUGAAGGACGAAGGUGCCAAGCAUUGUAAAUUUCUUUUGUCAAGGGACAAAAUCAGGCUCGAGAGCCUGACCGAGGGUACUUGAAGAAAAAGCAUCGGCUAACUCCGUGCCAGCAGCCGCGGUAAU
Molecule: ribosomal RNA, 189 nt
Filed under: uncultured bacterium
Lineage: Bacteria
Description: partial 16S ribosomal RNA
Rfam family: Bacterial small subunit ribosomal RNA
Source: RNAcentral